GAUGAACGCUGGCGGCGUGCCUAAUACAUGCAAGUCGAGCGAACAGACGAGGAGCUUGCUCCUCUGACGUUAGCGGCGGACGGGUGAGUAACACGUGGAUAACCUACCUAUAAGACUGGGAUAACUUCGGGAAACCGGAGCUAAUACCGGAUAAUAUAUUGAACCGCAUGGUUCAAUAGUGAAAGACGGUUUUGCUGUCACUUAUAGAUGGAUCCGCGCCGCAUUAGCUAGUUGGUAAGGUAACGGCUUACCAAGGCAUCGAUGCGUAGCCGACCUGAGAGGGUGAUCGGCCACACUGGAACUGAGACACGGUCCAGACUCCUACGGGAGGCAGCAGUAGGUAAUCUUCCGCAAUGGGCGAAAGCUUGACGGAGCAACGCCGCGUGAGUGAUGAAGGUCUUCGGAUCGUAAAACUCUGUUAUUAGGGAAGAACAAAUGUGUAAGUAACUAUGCACGUCUUGACGGUACCUAAUCAGAAAGCCACGGCUAACUACGUG
Molecule: ribosomal RNA, 497 nt
Filed under: uncultured bacterium
Lineage: Bacteria
Description: partial 16S ribosomal RNA
Rfam family: Bacterial small subunit ribosomal RNA
Source: RNAcentral